This 1019-nucleotide ribosomal RNA is filed under the name uncultured bacterium. Its description in RNAcentral is "bacterial SSU rRNA". It matches the Rfam family "Bacterial small subunit ribosomal RNA", at positions 87 to 1073 of the family's 1533-position model. The record is from RNAcentral.
CUUACGGAGCGGCGAACGGGUGAGUAACACGUGGGCAAUCUGCCUCGAGGACGGGGAUAACUCCGGGAAACUGGAGCUAAUCCCCAAAAACCCCUUCCAGAUCCCAAGUGCUGGUGGGAAAUCGCCUGUUCCACCUCGGAAUGAGUAUCGCACCCCUAUCUCACUUACUAUAGGGGUAAUGCCUUACCAGGCUUGUACACGCCGACGGCCUGAGAGGGUGUUGUGCCCACCCAGACACUGAACACACGACACCUGCACUCCAUACCGUAAGGCAAGGAGUACGGGAAUCUUGCACAUUGGGCUGGAAGCAAGCAUCUGACGGAGCCACGCCGCGUGCAAAAUCAAGGCCUUCGGGUUGUAAACUGCUGUCAGCUGGGAAGAAAAAGUCCGCCAUGAAUAAUGACUGGCUCUGACGGUACCAGCAGAGGAAGGCAUGGCUAACUCUGUGCCCGCGGCACGCGCUAAUACAGAGAUGGCUAGCGUUGUUCGGAUUUAUUGGGCGUAAAGGGUCUGUAGGCGGUCCGGAAAGUCGGAUGUGAAAUCCCACAGCUUAACUGUGGAACUGCAUUCGAAACUUCCGGACUAGAGUGUGAGAGGGGUAAAGGGAAUUCCCGGUGUAAGGGUGAAAUCUGCAGAGAUCGGGAGGAACACCUGUCGCGAAGGCACUUUACUGGCUCACUACUGACGCUGAGGGACGAAAGCUAGGGGAGCAAACGGGAUUAGAUACCCCGGUAGUCCUAGCCGUAAACUAUGGUCACUAGGUGUUGGAGGGGUUAAACCCUUCGGUGCCGUCGCUCACGCAUUAAGUGACCCGCCUGGGGAGUACGGUCGCAUGGCUGAAACUCAAAGGAAUUGACGGGGACCCGCACAAACGGUGGAGCAUGUGGUUCAAUACAACGAUACGCGUGGAACCUUACCCAGGCUUGACAUGUACAAGAAAGCCUUAUGAAAGUAAGGCCCUCUCUUCGGAGACUGGUACACAGGUGUUGCAUGGCUGUCGUCAGCUCGUGUCAUGAGAA